UCUUUGUAGCUGAGUCUAGUGCCUAGCAAGUGUUAUUUUUAUUUCUGCUAAAAAAGAAACCUUCAAUCUUUAAAUUAAAAACUUACUAUUAGAUUUAGAAAAAUUGGCUGUAUUGGCUGUAUCAAUUAUUUUCUGAGUUUUGGUUGUUAAAUAUCAUUACUGUUUUUAGAGAGAGAGGGAAGGAGAGAGACAGAGACAAAGAGAGAGAAUAGCUACGUGUGAGUCUUCAAAGCUGAAAAGCCGAGUGCAAGUUAGCAGCCAUGAAUGCAAUUGCCAGUUUUGAAGAGAAACUUAAAACAAUAAUUAUGGUCCCUACCUCAUAGGAGUGUCAAAGGAUUAAUAAGGAAUAUAUAUCCUAGCAAGAGGCUGCUUGUUCACCUGGAGAAUGGAAUCAGAAGACACAUGCCAUAGAGACACAGUCGCUGACCCACAGCCACCAACAUGUGAAGUCAGGAGUUCCAUGGACUCUGAACACUGUGGUUGGAAACCAAUGUGAUCUGUGAACUUGGAAAUCUGGAAGACCUGAGAUCGAUUAACCACUGCUAUCCUGCUGGAUGGACCAAAGCAGAGAUGUUCAAGAUGAAGAUGAACCUUCACACCUUGGGGGAAGUUUGUGAUCCCACUCUGGUACCAUAUUGCAUUUACUUACUGUGUCUCCUCAGAAUCCUUUUGACUGAGAUAGUUUCUAUGAUUUUCCUUGUUUUUGAAGACCUUGGCAGUUUUGAGCAGUGCUGGUCAGAUUUUUUUUUUUUUUUUUUUGAUGUGGACCAUUUUUAAAGUCCUUUUUUAAAUUGAAUUUGUUACAGUAUUGCUUCUGUUUUACAUUUUGGUUUUUUGGCCGUGAGACAUGUGGGAUCCUA
Long non-coding RNA from Balaenoptera musculus (blue whale), 860 nucleotides. RefSeq lists it as uncharacterized. The record is from RefSeq and is a predicted model, not a curated record. Lineage: Eukaryota; Metazoa; Chordata; Mammalia; Artiodactyla; Balaenopteridae. The transcript is spliced from 6 exons.